RNAcentral lists this ribosomal RNA (492 nucleotides) under uncultured bacterium. RNAcentral describes it as "partial 16S ribosomal RNA". It matches the Rfam family "Bacterial small subunit ribosomal RNA", at positions 29 to 507 of the family's 1533-position model. The record is from RNAcentral.
AGUGAAUGCUGGCGGUAGGCCUAACACAUGCAAGUCGAACGGCAGCACAGUAAGAGCUUGCUCUUACGGGUGGCGAGUGGCGGACGGGUGAGGAAUACAUCGGAAUCUACUUUUUCGUGGGGGAUAACGUAGGGAAACUUACGCUAAUACCGCAUACGACCUACGGGUGAAAGCAGGGGAUCUUCGGACCUUGCGCGAUUGAAUGAGCCGAUGUCGGAUUAGCUAGUUGGCGGGGUAAAGGCCCACCAAGGCGACGAUCCGUAGCUGGUCUGAGAGGAUGAUCAGCCACACUGGAACUGAGACACGGUCCAGGCUCCUACGGGAGGCAGCAGUGGGGAAUAUUGGACAAUGGGCGCAAGCCUGGUCCAGCCAUACCGCGUGGGUGAAGAAGGCCUUCGGGUUGUAAAGCCCUUUUGUUGGGAAAGAAAAGCAGCAGGUUAAUACCCCGCUGUUCUGACGGUACCCAAAGAAUAAGCACCGGCUAACUUCGUG